GGCAGUGGUAGCUCAGUGGUUAAGCUCUUGGACUGCUGAUUGAAAGGUUGUGAGUUCAAAAUCCAGCACUGUUA
Pangasius djambal is the source of this 74-nucleotide non-coding RNA. The record is from the annotation of a GenBank genome assembly. NCBI's taxonomy places the organism in Eukaryota, Metazoa, Chordata, Actinopteri, Siluriformes, Pangasiidae.